UGGCUCAGUUGGUUGAGCCUCCAACUCUUGGUUUUGGCUCAGGUCAUGGUCCCAGAGUUGUGGGAUCGAGCCCCGUGUUAGGCUCUGUGCGAAGUGUGGAGCUUGCUUGGGAUUCUCUCUCUUCCUCUGCCCCUCUCCCCUGCUAUCUCUCUUUAUAAUAAAUAAAAUUAAAAAAAAGUUUUUAAAGUCUUUUAAAUGUAAACCUCGUGCUAAACUCACAACUUGGUUCUAUAGCAGAGUAUUCUGGUAUAGAGUAUUCAAGAGUAAACUUGCUGAUAUAAAGAUUUUGCAGGUUUUACGGUAAUCAGUUCUCAUAUUUUUUCAUACUUUAAUGUGCCAGAAGACCAAAGCUGGGGCCAGGCUCUCUCUUGCUCUCUUUGUGGACUGAUCCCAUGGCAAAACGCAAACAGCAGAACCUGCUGGGGGGCCCCUUCAGUUCAGUGAAUGGAAGCAGGGGGCUGGUGCAGUAAAUGGAGGUGGAUUACAUCCAUCUCAGCCAAGGCAACGGCACUUCCUACGUGCUUCCUAAGUGCCAGGAACGUGCUAACGGUUGGGUACAGAGAUGACCGCCCUGCCCAUGAGGAAGCCACAGCCCGGCCAGGCAGCCAGACACUGGACGAGCUAUAAAGUGAUGUGACAAGUAGAUGCAGAAAGUGCUGGGAGUCCCAGUGGGGAGGAGAACGUGCAUCUGCCGGAGGGUGUAGCAAGGGGCAGAUGGUGUGAUGAGAGGCAGAGAGAAAAACGUCCCCUCCAAAGAUGUCCACGCCCUGAUCCCCAGUGCCUGUGAAUAUGUUAUCUUACAUGGCAGGAGGGACUCUGCAGAUGUGGUUAGGUUACGGACGUAGAGAUGGGGAGAUGAUCCUGGCUUAUCUGGACGGGCCCGAUGAAAUCAUGAAGGUCCUCAGAAGUGAAAGAGGGAGUCAGAGUGACACAGUUUGAGAAAGACUCAAUAGGCCAUUGCUUUGAAGAUGAAAGAAGGGGCCAUAAGCCAAGGAACACAGGCAGCUUCUAGAAGCUGGAAAAGUCAGGGAAACAGAUUCUCCCCUAGAGCCUCCCGAAGGAACAGCCCGGUGAUACCUUGAUUUUAGCCCCGUGAGACCCAUUUCAGACUUGUGACCUCCACCAAGCUUGUGGUAGUUUGGUACAGCAGCCCUAGAACACAGACAAUGGAGGAUAACUCGAGUAGGACACAGGAGCCCUGGGGGACUAGUCCUGAACUGGCAGCCCUUGCCCUCUCAAAGCCUCUAUUUAUCUAUUUCUCCCUCUGAAAAACGAGAGCACUGGUGAGGGUGGGGGAUGGCUGGCUCAGUCACUACAGCACACAACUCUUGGUCUCAGGGUCAUGAGUUCAAGCCCCUCACUGGGCGUGGAGCUUACUUAAAAACAACAACAACUGGGGCGCCUGGGUGGCGCAGUCGGUUAAGCGUCCGACUUCAGCCAGGUCACGAUCUCGCGGUCCGGGAGUUCGAGCCCCGCGUCAGGCUCUGGGCUGAUGGCUCAGAGCCUGGAGCCUGUUUCCGAUUCUGUGUCUCCCUCUUUCUCUGCCCCUCCCCCGUUCAUGCUCUGUCUCUCUGUGUCCCAAAAAUAAAUAAACGUUGAAAAAAAAAAUUUAAAAACAACAACAACAACAAUAAACCAAGAGCACUGGGUGUAGACACUCUCUGAUGUCCCUUCUGGUUCUGACACUUGGUGGUUUUAUGAAGAGGAGUAGCUACCAUAAUGUAAUGACUGGCAACUGGUUGUGAGGGUUGACAGAAAACAGCCUGUCCCAGAGCGUGUUUGGUGGAAUUUAAAUUCUACGGGCUGCUGAUAAGGGUUAGUCAGAAAAGAGGGCUAUUCAUGCAGCAAAUUAUUACCCAUCACUUACCAGGCACUGUUCUGAACCCUGGGGAGUCGGUGGUGAACAGGACAGAUGACCUCCCUGCCCUCACAGAGCUCAGAUCAGAGAAGUGAACUAACACACUCUUUGUUAGGAGAGAACUAAUGAACAGGCCAAUUUCCACUGGUCAUUAUACCACGAAGAAAAUGAAACCUGGUGAUGAGACAGUGUGGGACAAGGAGGCCACAGCUUCUCCUGGUAGAAUGGUCAGAGCUAGCCUCUCAGGGUCAAAUCCGACCUGGGCUUACGUGACGAGAUGAGCUGGGCGUUUGAAGAAAAGGGGGAAGAAGUAUGAAAAAAUAUUGAGCUAAAUGAAAUUAAACAGAAUUCUAUAUGGAAGAGUCCUGAGGGUUUGAACGUAUCAGUUGGUUCAUGUGUUCGCUGUCCAAUGACACAUUAUUUUAUUGAACCAGGCAGUGUUCUAGACACAAGGGAUACAGUACUGAACAAAACGGGCAAGGUCCCUGGCGCGUGGAGCAUUGUGAGUGUGGGGGAAACAGACAAUACAAAACUCAACAGAUAAAUAUAACAUCAGGAUAUAAAAGGACUCGGAGGGGGCACCUGGGUGGCUCGGUCGGUUGAGCGUCCAACUCUUGGUUUUGGCUCAGGUCAAGAUCUCAUAGCUUUGUGGGUUUGAGCCCCGCAUCGGGCUCUGCUCUGCGCUGCCUGUUUGGGAUUCGCUCUCCCCCUCUCUCUGUGCCCCUCCCCUACUGGUGCCAUCUCGGUCUCUCUCAAAAUUGAGAAACAAACGUAACAAAAAAUAAAAGGACUCUGAGGAACAGAACGGGUAUGGGGAUAGGUGUUGACAGCGGUGGUAAUGGUGGUCUGGGAAGCUAUCUGGCGUAGACAUCUGAACAGAGAAUUAACAUGCAAGAUGAAUCAGUAGGCAGCAUUUCCCAAACUAACAUGACAACACAACCCCUUUGUCCCAGAGCAUCACGCAGGACACAGGCUCCUCAGAACACACUUUGAGAAACCCUGGCCCAGAGACAGCUGAAGCGUGAACCACACUCUCGCAGGACCCAGGCUAGCAUGUCAGGAUGGAGACUAUGAAUCUCAUGAAUACAGAGUAAGGCAUUUUGUGCAGAAAGUCCCCGCCUCCAAAUGCGUAUCAGAAAGUAGGAGAGGGGCGCCUGGCUGGCUCAGUUAGUACAGCAUGUGACUCUUGAUCUUGGGGUCGUGGGGUCGUGAAUUCAAGCCCCAUGCUGGGUACGGAGCCUACUUUAAAAAAAAAGAAAAAGCAAGUGGGAGUGACUGGGAAUUCUCUGCUUGACUGCUAGUUAGUAAAGCUCUGCAUACUCUCCUGAGCCAUCCCAGACUCCCCCUCAGUUCUGUGGGAUUCAUGAAGCUUGAGGAUAAGGUAAGCCCAUGAUUGGAUGAGUCGGCACUAGCCCGUGCUGGUUUUCCCCAGAGAGCAGAAUAUAAAAGAAUAGGAAUCCUUUUUCUAGGAUGUUAUGUUGCAGAGAACAUGUAUUUGUUUUUUCAAGCGUAUCGUCUGGGUGACGACGAUCAAUGUCCACAUUUCUGGGGAUCUUUACCCAAGUCCCCCUUCAGUUCUGAUUAAGGAAUAAAUGGUGCACCCUGGGACCAGAAACAAGAUCUGGGGCCCGAACAGGGCCUAUGCUCAUGCAAAGUGCACACCCUGAGAAAAAGACCAAUAUUCUCCCCAGGAAGCCACAGGGAGUUUCACUGCGAGCAAACCCCACCGUCCCUGCUAUGUCCUUUCCUGUCUAGAGAAGGCCGUCUGGACUUUCUCACAGCUCAAGUCAGAGGAGGCACAUUAUGUAUUCAAGUCCUGCUGCAGCAAGCCUUCCAGCACGCCAUCCUGCCUGGGCUCCAGCAGAAACACCUCUCUGGGGAGCAGGCUCUGUUCGUGGUAAGCUGGGCUCCGGGUCUGCCAGAGGAACCGCUCUGAAAGCCCACAGAACGUGGCCUCGCCUGGCAGGUGGUAAUGCCGUUCACCUUCCUCGUUCCCUAGAUGAGAUGUGAGCUCAGACAGAUGGGGGGGGGGGGGGUCUUCCCAUGAAAGCCAACGCCUUUCCCAAGCCUCUGCUUCCCUGAACUGCCUGCCCGAGCCCCCAUGUGGUUCCUCUGCUUGGAUAAUCCUCCUGCCCCUCGUCACCUUCUUGUCACCUGCCAUCUUUUUCAUCUUGGCUCAGUGUCACUUCCUCUGGGAAGCUGUCUGUCUUGAUCGGAUCAAAUACCACCACUGGGGGUGCUUAGGGCACAUCGUGCCUCUUUUACGAGCACCUGCAGUGGCUCUGAGUCCCAGGUCCUGCCACUCACAUCCCUUCAACAAAUCCCAUCACCUCCCUGGGCCUCAGUUGCCGAAGGAAGGGAGGUGAAAAGAUGCUCACUGUGGUUCCCUCCCUGUCCCAGCGCUCUGAGAUUUCCCUUCCUGAGACAAGAGUCACAAUCAUUUACUUAGCACUGAAAUGACAGAGAGAGCCACAGUAUUGGUUCCCACACUUUUGAAGACCUGACAUCCCUUUUCAAAUGAUGCUGUCUAAUCCUAAAGCAGGGAAUGGGCGGAGCUACUUUGCUUGAAAUGGGCCAAAGUCUGGAAGCCCUUUGUCUCUCAGCCUCUGAGGUACCUCCCCCGCCUAGGGCUCCAGAGGCACGGGUUUCAAGCCACUCCCUGGGACGGGCCUUCCAAAUCUAACACUAGGGCAAGUUCCAAAGUCCACCCACUCACACCCCAUGCUGACUGGUUGCCUGAAUUCUGUGGGGUCCGCAGAUCUUCUACUGACAAGUGUCCAAAAGACACAAAGGUUUGUCUGUUCCUCUUUAAGCUUUCUUUCAACAUGUCUGAUUUCACACGUAGCUCCGGAGCACGCAUGAAAGGGGGAUUAUAAAAAGGUAGGAGAGGAGAGACCCAUUGGUAAGCCCACUUCCAAAUUUGUGAUAUGGACACAAGGGCCACAAAGGGCCACAAGCACUGGAGCAAAGGACACAAGCAACCGCUGUUAGCGCUGCCCACUCUCUCACCGAGGAGGCACGGACACCCAUGCGGGGGUGUGCUGGCCCUCAACACACCUCGGGCGCCUGAGUCCCAUCGUCCUCAGCGGAGCCCCCUAGACCCGGCUUUGGAGUUCUGACCGUGGAGGGCCGGGCAGCAAAUCAGCAGACCUGGCCAUCGGUCCCCAGGAGCACCCAGCACGGUCACGGGCACGACCCAGGACUUCGGGUCCUUGCAGUAGUAGCCCACCCCUCCUCCAGAAUUCAGAAUUUGCUGGAACACCUCCUACCGAUCACUAUCAUCCAGGUGUGAAUCGCUGGGGGGGCCUUCUACAGCCAGAGCUGCACACUCCUUUCUUUCUUUCUUUCUUUUCUAACACCUUCCAAAUUCAUCACCCUCGACGUGGUGAGCAAAAGAACGUGCAGACAUUUGUGGGGAAGGGGUGAGUGCCCCUGCUUCCCCUAUGUCAGGGAGAUACCAAAACCCACUGAGAAGUCAUCUGGGAGAAGAAUCCCAGGAUGGGCCUUUGUGGGCACCUGUCCAAAGGUUCCGAUUUGGAAGCCACAACAGCUGGCCUUUUGGAGCCAGAGAGAAAGCUUUCAUAUAUUGAGGCAAUUGAUUAUUAUUUUUUUAAAGGCUCCAAAACCUCCUCUAAAGCCAUCUCCUGUACUUAAACAUUCCCUUAGUUCUCCCCCGCCCCUCCCCCAUAUUUAUUUGGCUUAUAAAAACGUAUUAAAUCAGUAGUCACUCUGCUGUCUCAAAUGUGUCUACUCUCAGCCCCACGGUCUGGUGACAGUUCUCUUUAUCGAUCUCAAGACAGCAGCCGAAAGUCCUGUAGUCCUGUAGGUCUCCCCCUCCUCCCCACCGCCUGCCCCUUUGUCCUGUCCAGUCCUCUCCAACUUACUCUAUGAAGGCUCGGUGACAGACACAGCAAGCUGGAAGGGGAGGGAGGCAGUGCUAUUUAUAAUUCGGCAGAGUUGGCCCUCAGAACACGGCCAUUUUUUCCAGGCGGACUGCCAGAGCCCACAUUCCCCAGGCUCCAUAUAUGGGCCUCUCACAGGCCCCUGUGCCCAUAGCCUUGCCUCUGAGGGGACCAAGGCCGCCUGGCAAGUCAGGAAGCAUCUCAUUUAAUCUUCAUAACACCCCCAAGAGAUGGAUGUUCUUCUGUAGGUGAGGAAACUGGGGUGCAGAGAGGUGAAGCAGCAUGUCCAUGCUGACCCUACGGGUGGAGGCCCCUUCUUAAAUGUGUUGCCCCUUCUCUUCUCUCCUGAGCAUUUAGGACAAACUAGACCCACAAAGAAUCUUCACUCGGGAGGCACUUCUUCGGCCAAGGGCACCUCUCACCUGUGAGCUCUUUUCAGCGUAGGAAGGAUUCCGGAUUCUCUGUGGACCCCAUGGCCUCUGUAGCCCUCCCUGAACAGCCAGGACCCUCUAUCUGUGGAGUUCCCAGCCGUCCCGUUACUUGCUUGCCUGUGACAAAUAUGGGGCUGGCACUUCAGCAGGGAGAAGGAGCAGCAGGAGUUGAUCAAUUCCUAAGCAACAAAGAUCCUGUUUUCAUGCAAACGUCCUCGGCAUUAAAACAAAAACAAAUUCUUCCCGGGGCGCGUCCUGGA
Leopardus geoffroyi (Geoffroy's cat) is the source of this 6451-nucleotide long non-coding RNA. RefSeq lists it as uncharacterized. The record is from RefSeq and is a predicted model, not a curated record. The transcript is spliced from 3 exons. NCBI's taxonomy places the organism in Eukaryota, Metazoa, Chordata, Mammalia, Carnivora, Felidae.